GGGGCCGUUUAUGGAUUUGCCGGGGCCUGGAAUCUAUUAUAUGCAUGUAGCGGUAGUGCGCUUAAAAACACGAGGUUAUAAUAACCGGAAACCAAACACAAACUUUAGCAUUUGCUUAAUUAAGACAAAUUGCUUGGCACUCUAAUAGUUUACAUGUGACUUUAGACUUGCCUCAGUAAAGCAUGUUAUGGUUAUACAUAUGUCUAGGUGUAUAGCAUGAAAAUUCGAAACUAGCCUCGUACUUGCUAAUUUUGUUAAUUUACUAAGCGGUAUUAAAUUAUUAAAUUGACUAAACAUGUAGAUUAUAAUAGAAGAAAAGUCUCGUACAUGGGUUCGACUCCCAUCGGUUCCACCA
Acholeplasma laidlawii PG-8A is the source of this 355-nucleotide non-coding RNA. It matches the Rfam family "transfer-messenger RNA". From Rfam's summary of the family: Bacterial tmRNA, also known as 10Sa RNA or SsrA, is named for its dual tRNA and mRNA-like properties. Its role is to liberate the mRNA from a stalled ribosome. The record is from Rfam. Lineage: Bacteria; Bacillati; Mycoplasmatota; Mollicutes; Acholeplasmatales; Acholeplasmataceae.